UUUAAAUGUAAAUUUUUGAACUAAAUUAGUAAUAGAUAUGAUCUUCAAAUUUAAAGAUUUUGGCGGUAUUUUAGUCUAUUCAGAGGAACCUGUUCUGUAAUUGAUAAUCCACGAUUAACUUUACUUAAUUUUAAAAAUUUGUAUAUCGUUGUUUAUAGAAAAUUUUAUAAGAAAAAUAAUUUUUAAUAAAUUUAAUUAAAUUGUAAAUCAAAUCAAGGUGCAGUUUAUAGUUAAGUUAGAAAUGGGUUACAAUAAAUUUAUUUAUUAAUGAAUAUAAAUUUUAAAAUUUUUAUUGAAGGUGGAUUUGAUAGUAAUGUUAUUAAAUUAAAUAAUGUGAUUUUAGCUCUAAAAUAUGU
RNAcentral lists this ribosomal RNA (356 nucleotides) under Gyrinus maculiventris. RNAcentral's name for it is "partial 12S ribosomal RNA". The record is from RNAcentral. Lineage: Eukaryota; Metazoa; Arthropoda; Insecta; Coleoptera; Gyrinidae.